CUCCUCCUCCAAGGUGGCCCUCAAGUUUGCCGAGGUCUGCCCCUCCUUCUGCAGCACCUCUUGGAGACUCGCAACCUCGGCAAUCUUCUCCUCGAGGCGGGCGGCUCCGGCUAGACGACCUUCCUCCGCCUGGGCGGCCUCCUUCCUGGCAUCGUUCAUCGCCUCGAUGUUGGUGAUGAGCUAGUAUCCAAUCUGCAAGAGC
This 202-nucleotide long non-coding RNA is filed under the name Elaeis guineensis (African oil palm). RNAcentral describes it as "long non-coding RNA (EGUI_LNC075045)". Lineage: Eukaryota; Viridiplantae; Streptophyta; Magnoliopsida; Arecales; Arecaceae. The record is from RNAcentral.